This 269-nucleotide unclassified non-coding RNA is filed under the name Irpex laceratus. RNAcentral describes it as "Emmia lacerata partial internal transcribed spacer region". The stretch from base 1 to 46 matches the Rfam family "Eukaryotic small subunit ribosomal RNA", at positions 1786 to 1831 of the family's 1831-position model. Lineage: Eukaryota; Fungi; Basidiomycota; Agaricomycetes; Polyporales; Irpicaceae. The record is from RNAcentral.
AAGUCGUAACAAGGUUUCCGUAGGUGAACCUGCGGAAGGAUCAUUAUCGAGUUUUGAACGGGUUGUAGCUGGCCUUUAACGAGGCAUGUGCACACCUGGCUCAUCCACUCUCAACCUCUGUGCACUUUAUGUAAGAAACGGUGUAAGCCAGCUAUUUAAUAGUUGGUAACAAGCCUUUCUUAUGUUUACUACAAACGCUUCAGUUAUAGAAUGUUUACUGUGUAUAACACAAUUAUAUACAACUUUCAACAACGGAUCUCUUGGCUCCA